UACAGAGGUGGCAAGCGUUGUUCGGAAUUACUGGGCGUAAAGAGCGCGCAGGCGGUCGUUCAAGUCGCGUGUGAAAGCCCCCGGCUCAACUGGGGAGGGUCACGCGAUACUGAUCGACUCGAAGGCAGGAGAGGGUAGUGGAAUUCCCGGUGUAGUGGUGAAAUGCGUAGAUAUCGGGAGGAACACCAGUGGCGAAGGCGACUGCCUGGCCUGUUCUUGACGCUGAGGCGCGAAAGCUAGGGGAGCAAACGGG
Molecule: ribosomal RNA, 253 nt
Filed under: uncultured bacterium
Lineage: Bacteria
Description: partial 16S ribosomal RNA
Rfam family: Bacterial small subunit ribosomal RNA
Source: RNAcentral